GGGGAGCCGAAGGGAAACCGAGUCUUAACUGGGCGUUAAGUUGCAGGGUAUAGACCCGAAACCCGGUGAUCUAGCCAUGGGCAGGUUGAAGGUUGGGUAACACUAACUGGAGGACCGAACCGACUAAUGUUGAAAAAUUAGCGGAUGACUUGUGGCUGGGGGUGAAAGGCCAAUCAAACCGGGAGAUAGCUGGUUCUCCCCGAAAGCUAUUUAGGUAGCGCCUCGUGAAUUCAUCUCCGGGGGUAGAGCACUGUUUCGGCAAGGGGGUCAUCCCGACUUACCAACCCGAUGCAAACUGCGAAUACCGGAGAAUGUUAUCACGGGAGACACACGGCGGGUGCUAACGUCCGUCGUGAAGAGGGAAACAACCCAGACCGCCAGCUAAGGUCCCAAAGUCAUGGUUAAGUGGGAAACGAUGUGGGAAGGCCCAGACAGCCAGGAUGUUGGCUUAGAAGCAGCCAUCAUUUAAAGAAAGCGUAAUAGCUCACUGGUCGAGUCGGCCUGCGCGGAAGAUGUAACGGGGCUAAACCAUGCACCGAAGCUGCGGCAGCGACGCUGAUGCGUUGUUGGGUAGGGGAGCGUUCUGUAAGCCUGCGAAGGUGUGCUGUGAGGCAUGCUGGAGGUAUCAGAAGUGCGAAUGCUGACAUAAGUAACGAUAAAGCGGGUGAAAAGCCCGCUCGCCGGAAGACCAAGGGUUCCUGUCCAACGUUAAUCGGGGCAGGGUGAGUCGACCCCUAAGGCGAGGCCGAAAGGCGUAGUCGAUGGGAAACAGGUUAAUAUUCCUGUACUUGGUGUUACUGCGAAGGGGGGACGGAGAAGGCUAUGUUGGCCGGGCGACGGUUGUCCCGGUUUAAGCGUGUAGGCUGGUUUUCCAGGCAAAUCCGGAAAAUCAAGGCUGAGGCGUGAUGACGAGGCACUGCGGUGCUGAAGCAACAAAUGCCCUGCUUCCAGGAAAAGCCUCUAAGCAUCAGGUAACAUCAAAUCGUACCCCAAACCGACACAGGUGGUCAGGUAGAGAAUACCAAGGCGCUUGAGAGAACUCGGGUGAAGGAACUAGGCAAAAUGGUGCCGUAACUUCGGGAGAAGGCACGCUGAUAUGUAGGUGAAGUCCCUCGCGGAUGGAGCUGAAAUCAGUCGAAGAUACCAGCUGGCUGCAACUGUUUAUUAAAAACACAGCACUGUGCAAACACGAAAGUGGACGUAUACGGUGUGACGCCUGCCCGGUGCCGGAAGGUUAAUUGAUGGGGUUAGCGCAAGCGAAGCUCUUGAUCGAAGCCCCGGUAAACGGCGGCCGUAACUAUAACGGUCCUAAGGUAGCGAAAUUCCUUGUCGGGUAAGUUCCGACCUGCACGAAUGGCGUAAUGAUGGCCAGGCUGUCUCCACCCGAGACUCAGUGAAAUUGAACUCGCUGUGAAGAUGCAGUGUACCCGCGGCAAGACGGAAAGACCCCGUGAACCUUUACUAUAGCUUGACACUGAACAUUGAGCCUUGAUGUGUAGGAUAGGUGGGAGGCUUUGAAGUGUGGACGCCAGUCUGCAUGGAGCCGACCUUGAAAUACCACCCUUUAAUGUUUGAUGUUCUAACGUUGACCCGUAAUCCGGGUUGCGGACAGUGUCUGGUGGGUAGUUUGACUGGGGCGGUCUCCUCCUAAAGAGUAACGGAGGAGCACGAAGGUUGGCUAAUCCUGGUCGGACAUCAGGAGGUUAGUGCAAUGGCAUAAGCCAGCUUGACUGCGAGCGUGACGGCGCGAGCAGGUGCGAAAGCAGGUCAUAGUGAUCCGGUGGUUCUGAAUGGAAGGGCCAUCGCUCAACGGAUAAAAGGUACUCCGGGGAUAACAGGCUGAUACCGCCCAAGAGUUCAUAUCGACGGCGGUGUUUGGCACCUCGAUGUCGGCUCAUCACAUCCUGGGGCUGAAGUAGGUCCCAAGGGUAUGGCUGUUCGCCAUUUAAAGUGGUACGCGAGCUGGGUUUAGAACGUCGUGAGACAGUUCGGUCCCUAUCUGCCGUGGGCGCUGGAGAACUGAGGGGGGCUGCUCCUAGUACGAGAGGACCGGAGUGGACGCAUCACUGGUGUUCGGGUUGUCAUGCCAAUGGCACUGCCCGGUAGCUAAAUGCGGAAGAGAUAAGUGCUGAAAGCAUCUAAGCACGAAACUUGCC
Molecule: ribosomal RNA, 2156 nt
Filed under: Escherichia coli
Lineage: Bacteria; Pseudomonadati; Pseudomonadota; Gammaproteobacteria; Enterobacterales; Enterobacteriaceae
Description: partial 23S ribosomal RNA
Rfam family: Bacterial large subunit ribosomal RNA
Source: RNAcentral